Notothenia coriiceps (black rockcod) is the source of this 782-nucleotide long non-coding RNA. RefSeq lists it as uncharacterized. The record is from RefSeq and is a predicted model, not a curated record. NCBI's taxonomy places the organism in Eukaryota, Metazoa, Chordata, Actinopteri, Perciformes, Nototheniidae. The transcript has 2 exons.
AGAGUGGGCAGGAAGUACGGGGUCAAAGGCCGCCAGCCCGGCAGCCGAUCUGACGGUCCAGCUCAGAAACAAAAGGUGGAGGAGGUCAAAACACUGAGCAGCCGCUGCUCUUUGAAGUCUGAGUGACACGACGCAGCUCCACCUCCCCACUGAGGAGACACCAAGUGAAACAAGCUGCAGGAGCCAAAACCGGACAUGACGGAGCAGAUUGAAGGCGGGGCUUAAGGAAAAUGAAAGGGCCCAAUGGAUGUGGAAGUUCUGUGUAUUCUUGUUCUCGAGAUUCAGACCAUUUUUGUUUAAUGCGCCACUGAGCAACUAUCAUAGGAGUGAACUGGGCCGCAACGCUGUAUCCAGAUAUUCUUAUACAUCCAUUCAUUUUACACAUUGAGGCUUACGUAACACACUCAUACAAGGCUUUGAAAGUGUGAGUUACUCAUCCACACACACAGAUGACCCAGUGAGGUGCUAGUAGACGUUACAGGGUUAAAGGUCAGCUGCUGUAUUAUCACCAGCCUUUUUUCCGUCAGGUCUGCAGCAUGUAACCCCCAAUUUACAAAGUUAAAUAUGCAUUGAACAAAACUUUUAUGUAAAUAAUUAGAUCAAAUGACUCUAUGUUAUGUGCAAGUGAUGAACCACACAGAAACGUUUUCUCAAAACAUACAAGAUAAUUUUUUUAAGAUUGAAUUUCCUAUUUGAUGUCCACUAGAGGGAUUGUGGUUCCUACCUGCACUUGUUUUGCAAGGACAGGUGUGAGUGUAAUAAACUCUGUUGGUACUUUUCAC